RNAcentral lists this ribosomal RNA (365 nucleotides) under uncultured cyanobacterium. RNAcentral describes it as "bacterial SSU rRNA". It matches the Rfam family "Bacterial small subunit ribosomal RNA", at positions 376 to 755 of the family's 1533-position model. The record is from RNAcentral. Lineage: Bacteria; Bacillati; Cyanobacteriota.
CGAAAGCCUGACGGAGCAAUACCGCGUGAGGGAGGAAGGCUCUUGGGUUGUAAACCUCUUUUCUCAGGGAAGAACAGAAUGACGGUACCUGAGGAAUAAGCAUCGGCUAACUCCGUGCCAGCAGCCGCGGUAAUACGGAGGAUGCAAGCGUUAUCCGGAAUGAUUGGGCGUAAAGGGUCCGCAGGUGGCAUUGUAAGUCUGCUGUUAAAGAGUUUGGCCCAACCAAAUAAGAGCAGUGGAAACUACAAAGCUAGAGUGUGGUCGGGGCAGAGGGAAUUCCUGGUGUAGCGGUGAAAUGCGUAGAUAUCAGGAAGAACACCAGUGGCGAAGGCGCUCUGCUAGGCCGAGACUGACACUGAGGGACG